Molecule: ribosomal RNA, 253 nt
Filed under: uncultured bacterium
Lineage: Bacteria
Description: partial 16S ribosomal RNA
Rfam family: Bacterial small subunit ribosomal RNA
Source: RNAcentral
UACGUAGGGAGCAAGCGUUGUCCGGAAUCAUUGGGCGUAAAGCGCGCGUAGGUGGCUUCGUAAGUCCGCUGUGAAAGUCCAAGGCUCAACCUUUGAAAGCCGGUGGAUACUGCGGGGCUAGAGUACGGAAGAGGCGAGUGGAAUUCCUGGUGUAGCGGUGGAAUGCGCAGAUAUCAGGAGGAACACCAAUUGCGAAGGCAGCUCGCUGGGACGUUACUGACGCUGAGACGCGAAAGCGUGGGGAGCGAACAGG